CUGAGGUUGUGUGUAGAUAAGCGAUCCACUAGAUCACUAAGUUCGGGCCGGACUAAUUUCAAUUGGUUUUGUUUUUGGGCCGAUUACAACUAUUUUGGGGGGUAUGUGGUAAAUUCUACGGAGUUUAUCAUUUUACUUCUUCUCCGACAUCGCCGGCUUCAACUCGCCGUCCUCCGUCGCAGGUUUUGUUUUGUAGCCACAAAUCAAAGAGGUCAAAUAUGCAUUGUAUGAGAGAUCAGAGAUAUGUGCAUAUGAUAUCAGGAUUUAUUCUUCUGUUCCUAUGGAAAUGAGGGGAAAGAAAAUGGGAAGGAAAAAAUAACAAAAAUUAUAAUACAUU
Long non-coding RNA from Ipomoea nil (Japanese morning glory), 337 nucleotides. RefSeq lists it as uncharacterized. The transcript is spliced from 2 exons. The record is from RefSeq and is a predicted model, not a curated record. NCBI's taxonomy places the organism in Eukaryota, Viridiplantae, Streptophyta, Magnoliopsida, Solanales, Convolvulaceae.